Molecule: long non-coding RNA, 231 nt
Filed under: Olea europaea (common olive)
Lineage: Eukaryota; Viridiplantae; Streptophyta; Magnoliopsida; Lamiales; Oleaceae
Description: long non-coding RNA (OEUR_LNC013344)
Source: RNAcentral
UCCACUUCAGGUAGGGAGCUUGUUACAGUGACGUCUUUAGACCAUGGGGUAGGUCAUGGGGGGACGUCCGAGGUGGAUAGGUAUGCCAUGGCCAAGGAGGCUGUGGAUUAUACCCAGGAGUGGGGGGCUUCUAGAGUGCCCUCAAACAUGACGGGGAAGAGGUUGGGGGAACUUAGGGAAAGGUACAGUGUGCCUCAUAACAUAGAGAUGUUAGUCCCCGAACCGAACGAG